GAUGAACGCUGGCGGCGUGCCUAAUACAUGCAAGUCGAGCGAACAGACGAGGAGCUUGCUCCUCUGACGUUAGCGGCGGACGGGUGAGUAACAUGUGGAUAACCUACCUAUAAGACUGGGAUAACUUCGGGAAACCGGAGCUAAUACCGGAUAAUAUAUUGAACCGCAUGGUUCAAUAGUGAAAGACGGUUUUGCUGUCACUUAUAGAUGGAUCCGCGCCGCAUUAGCUAGUUGGUAAGGUAACGGCUUACCAAGGCAACGAUGCGUAGCCGACCUGAGAGGGUGAUCGGCCGCACUGGAACUGAGACACGGUCCAGACUCCUACGGGAGGCAGCAGUAGGGAAUCUUCCGCAAUGGGCGAAAGCCUGACGGAGCAACGCCGCGUGAGUGAUGAAGGUCUUCGGAUCGUAAAACUCUGUUAUUAGGGAAGAACAAAUGUGUAAGUAACUAUGCACGUCUUGACGGUACCUAAUCAGAAAGCCACGGCUAACUACGUG
RNAcentral lists this ribosomal RNA (497 nucleotides) under uncultured bacterium. Its description in RNAcentral is "partial 16S ribosomal RNA". It matches the Rfam family "Bacterial small subunit ribosomal RNA", at positions 28 to 507 of the family's 1533-position model. The record is from RNAcentral.